Molecule: ribosomal RNA, 253 nt
Filed under: uncultured bacterium
Lineage: Bacteria
Description: partial 16S ribosomal RNA
Rfam family: Bacterial small subunit ribosomal RNA
Source: RNAcentral
UACGGGGGGGGCAAGCGUUGUCCGGAAUCAUUGGGCGUAAAGAGCGUGUAGGCGGCCCGGUAAGUCCGCUGUGAAAGUCCAGGGCUCAACCCUGGGAUGCCGGUGGAUACUGUCGGGCUCGAGUCCGGAAGAGGCGAGUGGAAUUCCUGGUGUAGCGGUGAAAUGCGCAGAUAUCAGGAGGAACACCAAUGGCGAAGGCAGCUCGCUGGGACGUGACUGACGCUGAGACGCGAAAGCGUGGGGAGCAAACAGG